RNAcentral lists this ribosomal RNA (504 nucleotides) under uncultured fungus. RNAcentral describes it as "SSU rRNA". It matches the Rfam family "Eukaryotic small subunit ribosomal RNA", at positions 248 to 755 of the family's 1831-position model. The record is from RNAcentral. Lineage: Eukaryota; Fungi.
GAUUCAUAAUAACUUCUCGAAUCGCAUGGCCUUGCGCCGGCGAUGGUUCAUUCAAAUUUCUGCCCUAUCAACUUUCGAUGGCAGGGUCUUGGCCUGCCAUGGUUACAACGGGUAACGGAGGGUUAGGGCUCGACCCCGGAGAAGGAGCCUGAGAAACGGCUACUACAUCCAAGGAAGGCAGCAGGCGCGCAAAUUACCCAAUCCCGACUCGGGGAGGUAGUGACAAUAAAUACUGAUACAGGGCUCUUUUGGGUCUUGUAAUUGGAAUGAGUACAAUUUAAAUCCCUUAACGAGGAACAAUUGGAGGGCAAGUCUGGUGCCAGCAGCCGCGGUAAUUCCAGCUCCAAUAGCGUAUAUUAAAGUUGUUGCAGUUAAAAAGCUCGUAGUUGAACCUUGGGCCUGGCUGGCCGGUCCGCCUCACCGCGUGCACUGGUUCGGCCGGGCCUUUCCCUCUGGGGAACCCCAUGCUCUUCACUGAGUGUGGUGGGGAACCAGGACUUUUAC